CAGGCCUAACACAUGCAAGUCGAGCGGUAACAGGACUAGCUUGCUAGUUGCUGACGAGCGGCGGACGGGUGCGUAACACGUAGGAAUCUGCCUAGUAGUGGGGGAUAGCCCGGAGAAAUUCGGAUUAAUACCGCAUACGCCCUAAGGGGGAAAGCAGGGGAUCUUAGGACCUUGCGCUAUCGGAUGAGCCUGCGUCGGAUUAGCUAGUUGGUGGGGUAAAGGCCUACCAAGGCAACGAUCCGUAGCUGAUCUGAGAGGAUGAUCAGCCACACUGGGACUGAGACACGGCCCAGACUCCUACGGGAGGCAGCAGUGGGGAAUAUUGCACAAUGGGCGCAAGCCUGAUGCAGCCAUGCCGCGUGUGUGAAGAAGGCUUUAGGGUUGUAAAGCACUUUCAGCGAGGAGGAAAGGGUUAGAAUUAAUACCUCUGAUCUGUGACGUUACUCGCAGAAGAAGCACCGGCUAACUCCGUGCCAGCAGCCGCGGUAAUACGGAGGGUGCGAGCGUUAAUCGGAAUUACUGGGCGUAAAGCGUGCGUAGGUGGCUAGUUAAGUUGGUUGUGAAAGCCCUGGGCUCAACCUGGGAACUGCAUCCAAAACUGACUGGCUAGAGUGCGGAAGAGGAGUGUGGAAUUUCCUGUGUAGCGGUGAAAUGCGUAGAUAUAGGAAGGAACACCAGUGGCGAAGGCGACACUCUGGUCUGACACUGACGCUGAGGUACGAAAGCGUGGGGAGCAAACAGGAUUAGAUA
RNAcentral lists this ribosomal RNA (750 nucleotides) under uncultured bacterium. RNAcentral describes it as "bacterial SSU rRNA". It matches the Rfam family "Bacterial small subunit ribosomal RNA", at positions 43 to 784 of the family's 1533-position model. The record is from RNAcentral.